This 259-nucleotide ribosomal RNA is filed under the name uncultured bacterium. Its description in RNAcentral is "partial 16S ribosomal RNA". It matches the Rfam family "Bacterial small subunit ribosomal RNA", at positions 97 to 353 of the family's 1533-position model. The record is from RNAcentral.
GGCGGACGGGUGAGUAACGCGUGGGUAACCUGCCUUGUACUGGGGGACGAACAGUUAGAAAUGACUGCUAAUACCGCNUAAGCGCACAGUAUCGCAUGAUACAGUGUGAAAAACUCCGGUGGUACAAGAUGGACCCGCGUCUGAUUAGCUAGUUGGUAAGGUAACGGCUUACCAAGGCGACGAUCAGUAGCCGACCUGAGAGGGUGACCGGCCACAUUGGGACUGAGACACGGCCCAAACUCCUACGGGAGGCAGCAUG